CUUUCUCCAAGAGACCGACUCGUAACAAAACCAGUAUACUCUAGAUCGAUUGAGACUAAGAGAUAUAAGAGAAAAACGAUGCAUGCGAAGCAAAAGAUCAAGAAACUCGGGAAGUUUGGAAACGAUUACCAGCGCUGGUUGGAGCGGUUUAUUUUGCUGCACUAUUGCUUGUUACCACAGUUAUCAGUCUCAUCAUUGUGAAAAAUCGCAGGGCUAUGGUCAAAUCACUUCUGGAUAUGAACCACUUGAAUGAAAUCGAAGCCAAAACUGAGCUCAACUUGACAUCUGGCGUUCUGAUUUGCAA
Symsagittifera roscoffensis is the source of this 304-nucleotide long non-coding RNA. RefSeq lists it as uncharacterized. Lineage: Eukaryota; Metazoa; Xenacoelomorpha; Acoela; Convolutidae. The record is from RefSeq and is a predicted model, not a curated record. The transcript is spliced from 3 exons.